GAUGAACGCUAGCGGCAGGCUUAAUACAUGCAAGUCGUGGGGCAGCAGGACUGUAGCAAUACAGUUGCUGGCGACCGGCAAACGUGUGCGGCACACGUACGCAACUUACCCUGAACUGGGGGAUAGCUCGGGGAAACCCGGAUUAAUCCCACGUAAUAUAUUGGAGUGGCAUCACUUUAUUAUUAAAGCUCUGGCGGCUCGGGAUGGGCGUGCGGCUGAUUAGUUAGUUGGUUGAGGUAACGGCUCACCAAGCCGACGAUCAGUAACUGGUGUGAGAGCAGGACCAGUCAAACGGGCACUGGGACACGAGCCCGACGCCUACGGGAAGUAGGAGUAAGGAAGAUUGGGCAAUGGAGGUAACUCUGACCCAGCCAUGCCGCGUGGAGGAUGAAGGCCCUCUGAGUUGUAAUCUUCUUUUAUAGGGGACGAAGCCUGUGUAUUCUUACGCAGUUGACGGUACCCAAGGAAUAAGCGCCGGCUAACUCCGUG
RNAcentral lists this ribosomal RNA (489 nucleotides) under uncultured bacterium. Its description in RNAcentral is "partial 16S ribosomal RNA". It matches the Rfam family "Bacterial small subunit ribosomal RNA", at positions 28 to 507 of the family's 1533-position model. The record is from RNAcentral.